CGUAAGGCGCCGAAUGAGUCAUUAAAAAAUUAACAUCAUCCGAUCCCUAGUCGGCAUAGUUUAUGGUUAAGACUACGACGGUAUCUGAUCGUCUUCGAUCCCCUAACUUUCGUUCUUGAUUAAUGAAAACAUCCUUGGCAAAUGCUUUUCGCAGUAGUUAGUCUUCAAUAAAUCCAAGAAUUUCACCUCUGACAAUUGAAUACUAAUGCCCCCAACUAUCCCUAUUAAUCAUUACGUCAAUCCUAAGAAAACCAACAAAAUAGGAUCGAACGUCCUAUUUCAUUAUUCCAUGCUAAUGUAUUCAAGCGUUAGCUU
Molecule: ribosomal RNA, 315 nt
Filed under: uncultured Glomus
Lineage: Eukaryota; Fungi; Glomeromycota; Glomeromycetes; Glomerales; Glomeraceae
Description: partial 18S ribosomal RNA
Source: RNAcentral